GUCCCUCCCUGUCUAUUCUGCAGUAAGUGACAUCCCCCAGUACUCCCAGCUGGUGCUGAAUGUCUGUGAGACCCUCCAAGAGGAAGUGAUUGCACUCUUCGACCAGACCCGCCACAGUCUGGCAUUAGGCAGUGCCACAGAGGACAAGGACAGCAUGGAGACUGACGACUGUUCUCGGUCCCGGCACAGGGACCAGCGUGAUGGGGUGUGUGUCCUGGGCCUGCACCUGGCCAAGGAGCUGUGUGAGGUAGACGAGGAUGGUGACUCCUGGCUGCAGGUAACCCGCAGGCUCCCCAUCCUACCCACCCUCCUCACCACUCUAGAGGUGAGCCUUCGCAUGAAGCAGAACCUGCAUUUCACUGAGGCCACACUGCAUCUGCUUCUCACCCUGGCUCGCACUCAGCAGGUAGGAGGCCAGCCCGAAGGCAGGAGGCAGCGUCCUUGCUUGCCUGGGUGGGUUCUGACAAUCCCAGAAGCUGUGAUCUAGCCUGAGAGCCCUACCUACUCUGGGCAGGGCAGGGGCAGGCUCCAUCUCAUUCCCUGUCUUUCCCUCCUCCCAGGGAGCCAC
Molecule: small RNA, 568 nt
Filed under: Pongo abelii (Sumatran orangutan)
Lineage: Eukaryota; Metazoa; Chordata; Mammalia; Primates; Hominidae
Description: retained intron
Source: RNAcentral